Molecule: ribosomal RNA, 427 nt
Filed under: uncultured beta proteobacterium
Lineage: Bacteria; Pseudomonadati; Pseudomonadota; Betaproteobacteria
Description: bacterial SSU rRNA
Rfam family: Bacterial small subunit ribosomal RNA
Source: RNAcentral
UGGGGAAUUUUGGACAAUGGGCGAAAGCCUGAUCCAGCCAUGCCGCGUGAGUGAAGAAGGCCUUCGGGUUGUAAAGCUCUUUUAGUCGGAAAGAAAGAGUUGCAAUGAAUAAUUGUGAUUUAUGACGGUACCGACAGAAAAAGCACCGGCUAACUACGUGCCAGCAGCCGCGGUAAUACGUAGGGUGCGAGCGUUAAUCGGAAUUACUGGGCGUAACGGGUGCGCAGGCGGUCUUGCAAGUCAGAUGUGAAAGCCCCGGGCUUAACCUGGGAAUUGCGUUUGAAACUACAAGGCUAGAGUGCAGCAGAGGGGAGUGGAAUUCCAUGUGUAGCAGUGAAAUGCGUAGAGAUGUGGAAGAACACCGAUGGCGAAGGCAGCUCCCUGGGUUGACACUGACGCUCAUGCACGAAAGCGUGGGGAGCAAACA